CCUACGGGUGGCAGCAGUAGGGAAUCUUGCGCAAUGGGCGAAAGCCUGACGCAGCAACGCCGCGUGAACGAGACGCCCUUCGGGGUGUAAAGUUCUGUCAGUGGGGACGAAAAAUGACGGUACCUACAGAGGAAGCACUGGCUAACUCCGUGCCAGCAGCCGAGGUAUUACGGAGGGUGCAAGCGUUGUCCGGAAACAUUGGGCGUAAAGAGGUCGUAGGCGGCAUGUAAAGUCAGGUGUUAAAGGCGCAGGCUCAACCUGUGUAUGGCACUGGAUACUUGCAAGCUGGAGUGCGGUAGAGGAAAGUGGAAUUCCUGGUGUAGCGGUGAAAUGCUUAGAUAUCAGGAGGAACAUCGGUGGCGAAGGCGCUUUACUGGGCCGUAAUUGACGCUGAGGAGCGAAAGCGAGGGUAGCAAAUGGGAUUAGAUACCCUAGUAGUC
Molecule: ribosomal RNA, 440 nt
Filed under: uncultured bacterium
Lineage: Bacteria
Description: partial 16S ribosomal RNA
Rfam family: Bacterial small subunit ribosomal RNA
Source: RNAcentral